CCUACGGGGAGCAGCAGUGGGGAAUAUUGGACAAUGGGCGAAAGCCUGAUCCAGCCAUGCCGCGUGUGUGAAGAAGGCCUUCGGGUUGUAAAGCACUUCCAGUGGGGAAGAAAGCCUUGGGGCUAAUACCCUCGAGGAAGGACAUCACCCACAGAAGAAGCACCGGCUAACUCCGUGCCAGCAGCCGCGGUAAUACGGAGGGUGCGAGCGUUAAUCGGAAUUACUGGGCGUAAAGCGCGCGUAGGCGGUCUGAUAAGCCGGUUGUGAAAGCCCCGGGCUCAACCUGGGAACGGCAUCCGGAACUGUCAGGCUAGAGUGCAGGAGAGGAAGGUAGAAUUCCCGGUGUAGCGGUGAAAUGCGUAGAGAUCGGGAGGAAUACCAGUGGCGAAGGCGGCCUUCUGGACUGACACUGACGCUGAGGUGCGAAAGCGUGGGUAGCAAACAGGAUUAGAUACCCGAGUAGUC
This 465-nucleotide ribosomal RNA is filed under the name Vreelandella stevensii. RNAcentral's name for it is "partial 16S ribosomal RNA". It matches the Rfam family "Bacterial small subunit ribosomal RNA", at positions 338 to 795 of the family's 1533-position model. The record is from RNAcentral. Lineage: Bacteria; Pseudomonadati; Pseudomonadota; Gammaproteobacteria; Oceanospirillales; Halomonadaceae.